CCUACGGGAGGCAGCAGUGAGGAAUAUUGGUCAAUGGACGCGAGUCUGAACCAGCCAAGUAGCGUGAAGGAUGACUGCCCUAUGGGUUGUAAACUUCUUUUAUAUGGGAAUAAAGUGUUCCACGUGUGGGAUUUUGUAUGUAACAUGUGAAUAAGGAUUGGCUAACUCCGUGCCAGCAGCCGCGGUAAUACGGAGGAUCCGAGCGUUAUCCGGAUUUAUUGGGUUUAAAGGGGGCGUAGGUGGAUUGUUAAGUCAGUUGUGAAAGUUGGCGGCUCAACCGUAAAAUUGUAGUUGAAACUGGCGGUCUUGAGUACAGUAGAGGUGUGCGGAAUGCGUGGUGUAGCGGUGAAAUGCUUAGAUAUCACGAAGAACUCCGAUUGCGAAGGCAGCUCACUGGACUGCAACUGACACUGAGGCUCGAAAGUGUGGGUAUCAAACAGGAUUAGAUACCCCUGUAGUC
RNAcentral lists this ribosomal RNA (460 nucleotides) under uncultured bacterium. RNAcentral describes it as "partial 16S ribosomal RNA". It matches the Rfam family "Bacterial small subunit ribosomal RNA", at positions 338 to 795 of the family's 1533-position model. The record is from RNAcentral.